Molecule: long non-coding RNA, 290 nt
Organism: Trematomus bernacchii (emerald rockcod)
Lineage: Eukaryota; Metazoa; Chordata; Actinopteri; Perciformes; Nototheniidae
Exons: 2
Source: RefSeq, a predicted model, not a curated record
AAGAACACAUGAUGUAAGUUUAGAAAACAAUGCUCCUGAUUGAAAUAAUGAAAGGUUUAAUAAUCUGAUUAUAGCUGGAGAAGUAGAGAAUGUAGACGUUUAUAAAGUGGACACUCCCGACAGGUUAAAAACAGUAAGAUCCAAAAAGUGAAAAGAGCUGUCAUUAAUAUGAAAGACAACGUUCUUCACCUUCAAUAAAAAGUGGUGACUUCACAUCAUAAACUCUACUCCUUCUACACUAACUCGUGAUGUGCAGCCAGACAAAUCAAAACCCACAGAAACUGAUUCAA